AACGAACGCUGGCGGCAUGCCUAACACAUGCAAGUCGAACGAUCCCUUCGGGGAUAGUGGCGCACGGGUGCGUAACGCGUGGGAACCUGCCCUUAGGUUCGGAAUAACUCAGAGAAAUUUGAGCUAAUACCGGAUAAUGUCUUCGGACCAAAGAUUUAUCGCCUUUGGAUGGGCCCGCGUUGGAUUAGCUAGUUGGUGGGGUAAAGGCCUACCAAGGCGACGAUCCAUAGCUGGUCUGAGAGGAUGAUCAGCCACACUGGGACUGAGACACGGCCCAGACUCCUACGGGAGGCAGCAGUGGGGAAUAUUGGACAAUGGGCGAAAGCCUGAUCCAGCAAUGCCGCGUGAGUGAUGAAGGCCUUAGGGUUGUAAAGCUCUUUUACCCGGGAUGAUAAUGACAGUACCGGGAGAAUAAGCCCUGGCUAACUCCGUG
This 433-nucleotide ribosomal RNA is filed under the name uncultured bacterium. RNAcentral describes it as "partial 16S ribosomal RNA". It matches the Rfam family "Bacterial small subunit ribosomal RNA", at positions 29 to 507 of the family's 1533-position model. The record is from RNAcentral.